Molecule: non-coding RNA, 208 nt
Organism: Bacillus amyloliquefaciens
Lineage: Bacteria; Bacillati; Bacillota; Bacilli; Caryophanales; Bacillaceae
Source: Rfam
GAAUCUCGAGUGACGGAUAUGAGUACGCCGAAGCCCUGUUUAAGAGAGAAGCUCCGAUACGCUGAAAGGAGCUUCAGCAGAAGAUCGGCCGAAGCUAAUCCUGAGUGCAGUUAAAGGCUGCCGCAGUCCUGCGUUACGGGAUGAAAGGUGACAGGCCUUUUUCGGCCUGUAAUCAGGGUGGUACCGCGAGACAGCUCUCGUCCCUGUG